Molecule: long non-coding RNA, 1439 nt
Organism: Gymnogyps californianus (California condor)
Lineage: Eukaryota; Metazoa; Chordata; Aves; Accipitriformes; Cathartidae
Exons: 4
Source: RefSeq, a predicted model, not a curated record
CACGUCCGCACGUCCGCACGUCCGCGGGCGCCAGAAGCGGUGGAGGGUGGCGGGAAGGGCGGCAGCGUUCCCUUCCCCUCCGGGCGGAUCGGCCCGGGCGGCGUCCUGCUGCCCGGGGGGAGGCGUCCGCAGUUUGCGGGCUGCAGGCCCCGGCGCGUGUGGGUUGGUCUUCGGCUGCGGGUGGCGCCUGUGCCGUAUUGUUCCCAGGUCAGGUGGAGACUUCCGUGUGGCAAGCAUAAGCCUAUUAAGAGAAAUGCCAGCUCUGCUAUUUCAGCCACCUUGUGAAGACCUCUUAAAAGUUUAAUCCAGAGUUCCUGCCUCCUGUCCAAAAGCCCUCAGUUCACAGCCUGAAGUUCCCUGAAGCCCAUGGAUCAACCCGAAGAUGUCAAUAAUGAUGAGCCUUGUGAAGCCUGUGUUUCUGUUUGCUUAAAUAUUGCAUGCUCCUGAAGACUUGAGUUGUGAAAUCAGAGUAUCUAAAAGGUUAGAGGUCUGGGGAAAAAGUGUAGUUGGAAUGUUAGCAGUGGUCCUACGGCAUCUGUGUUACUCCUCAAUGAAAAAGUGACAUGCUAGCAAAGAACAACUGAGCACAGAGCGGCAUUACUGGGAAGUGCGCAGACAUCAGUGGUCCAUGGAUUUCGGUUCAGUCAUGAUACUAAACUGACCCACAGCAAUUUGCAGAAAAUUUCAGGAUCGGUGUGUGAGGAAGCGAGGAAAGGAGGGCAGCUGUCUCUGAAAUAAUGUCAUGACUUGGAUUGCUGUGAAUCUCUGUCUCUUCUUGCGCUGCUGUUGUAUAUCUGUGUGUAUCACUAAGUAAACUAGUGAAAUUACAGUGAUAGAAGAGAAAGAAAAAAAAAAGCUUCUGUUGUAGUAAUUCAGAGAAAAUAAAUGACAUAGCAAGAAAGCCUUGUUGUGACUUAAAAAUAGUAUUUUCCUGUUGUAAAGCUCCAAUAUUAAGUAUGUAGCAGGCAUGAGAAGGGAAAAAAGGGCUGAUAAUAGAAAAUCAGAAAAGCACCUGAAAAUCAGGGUCACUUUAGAGGCUUUUGCGAUUUCCUGUAAUGUGACAUAAACCAUCUGUUGUGUUUUUGCUGGGAAAUUUGUAGCUGAGGUCAAUGUAGCAGAAAAUAAAAGUUGAGAAAACAUACACAGGGUUGCUGUGCUGGAAUGAGAGUUGUGUUCCUUAUCGAACCGGUCACAGAGGAUGGUGCCCAUUCAAAUUUACAUAAAACAAAUGGUAAAGCGUCUGUUAGACUGUAUUCCAACAUGUGUGUUGCUUCCUGUCAGUUUAAUUUUGUGUUAUCAGAAAGCUUUUGUUUAGAUAUAAGCAGCUUUUGUUACUUGGACUCAUUAACACGGGUCUCUGGCAAUGGUUUUCCCCCCACUCCCCGCUGCGAGCUGGUGGCACCCAGCAGCAGUGCUCGCUGCGGCCCCGAUGCUGCCUU